RNAcentral lists this ribosomal RNA (1048 nucleotides) under Aureonarius callisteus. RNAcentral's name for it is "eukaryotic LSU rRNA". The stretch from base 835 to 1048 matches the Rfam family "Eukaryotic large subunit ribosomal RNA", at positions 1 to 212 of the family's 3401-position model. Lineage: Eukaryota; Fungi; Basidiomycota; Agaricomycetes; Agaricales; Cortinariaceae. The record is from RNAcentral.
CCCUNUANGACGCCCCAUUCCAGGAGACUUGUACACGGUCCAGCGCGGAUAAUACUUCUCUAGAUUACAACUCGGACAGCCAAAGACUGCCAGAUUUUAAAUUUGAGCUUUUCCCGCUUCACUCGCAGUUACUAGGGGAAUCCUUGUUAGUUUCUUUUCCUCUUGGUCCAUUAGAGGAAGUAAAAGUCGUAACAAGGUUUCCGUAGGUGAACCUGCGGAAGGAUCAUUAUUGAAUAAACCUGAUGUGGCUGUUAGCUGGCUUUUCGAAGCAUGUGCUCGUCCGUCAUCUUUAUCUCUCCACCUGUGCACAUUUUGUAGUCUUGGAUAACUCUCGAGGCAACUCGGAUUUUAGAAUCGCCGUGCUGUACAAGUCGGCUUUCCUUUCAUUUCCAAGACUAUGUUUUUAUAUACACCAAAGUAUGUUCAAAGAAUGUCAUCAAUGGGAACUUGUUUCCUAUAAAAUUAUACAACUUUCAGCAACGGAUCUCUUGGCUCUCGCAUCGAUGAAGAACGCAGCGAAAUGCGAUAAGUAAUGUGAAUUGCAGAAUUCAGUGAAUCAUCGAAUCUUUGAACGCACCUUGCGCUCCUUGGUAUUCCGAGGAGCAUGCCUGUUUGAGUGUCAUUAAAUUCUCAACCUUCCAACUUUUAUUAGCUUGGUUAGGCUUGGAUGUGGGGGUUGCGGGCUUCAUUAACGAGGUCGGCUCUCCUUAAAUGCAUUAGCGGAACUUUUGUGGACCGUCUAUUGGUGUGAUAAUUAUCUACGCCGUGGAUGUGAAGCAGCUUUAUGAAGUUCAGCUUCUAACCGUCCAUUUAUUUGGACAAUUUUUGACAAUUUGACCUCAAAUCAGGUAGGACUACCCGCUGAACUUAAGCAUAUCAAUAAGCGGAGGAAAAGAAACUAACAAGGAUUCCCCUAGUAACUGCGAGUGAAGCGGGAAAAGCUCAAAUUUAAAAUCUGGCAGUCUUUGGCUGUCCGAGUUGUAAUCUAGAGAAGUAUUAUCCGCGCUGGACCGUGUACAAGUCUCCUGGAAUGGGGCGUCAUAGAGGG